RNAcentral lists this transfer RNA (70 nucleotides) under Platysteira castanea. RNAcentral's name for it is "tRNA-Pro". It matches the Rfam family "tRNA". From Rfam's summary of the family: Transfer RNA (tRNA) molecules are approximately 80 nucleotides in length. The record is from RNAcentral. Lineage: Eukaryota; Metazoa; Chordata; Aves; Passeriformes.
CAGAAGAUAGUUUAGUUGAAAAUACCAGCUUUGGGAGUUGGUGAUAAGGGUUUGACUCCCUUUUUUCUGA